GAGGAUCGUCCAUACUGAUUCCCACUAAAGAAGAAACACAUACAGCUGCAUAAACGGAUCGAGCAUCCGACUCUCCCUCAUUAUUAACUCGAAACGAACCAUCCGGAUUUUUUAAAGAGAAUAACCAAUCGUACAAACGAUCGCGCUCUAUCAAGGAAUAUGCGUCGGUGGAGUCACAAAGACAUAUACUGAGUAUAGAAGCAUAAGUACUCAAUAAAUGUUCAUCUUGUCCAUUCCCACCACAAAAACCACCACUAGGCCCUUUCAACUGUCGCACACUGCUAAUAGCCCGUUCACAAACAGAGCUGUCAAGUUUGCCUAAAAUUGCCAAUGAACUUAGUUCCCAAUAAACCAUCCAAGCCCUUGAUGCAUCCAAUACUGUAAAGGGAGAAGGAAGAGGAUCUAGCAUUUUGGUUAAAUACUUAAGAUGCUUUUGCAAAUUGAACGAUUGACUCUCGCCGUUCAGCAAUGGAAGAACAGCUGUAGCCGUUUCGUUUUGCAUAACUUGCGUUUCUGAUAAUUCAUCCAUCUUUACUAACUUUAACGAAAGAGUCCGCUCACCAAAAAGCUUUAUUAAUUAUAAAGUUGUUGGACUGGUUUACUUAAACACUAGAAGACAAAGAACCUAAAGUAACAGCCAAAUUGUUACUUGGCGCUAGAUGUGAAGGUUUCGCAUAUUAGAGGAAAUACUUGUAUGAGAGGAGCUCGAAGAUGAAAGUUUUGAAAGACAUGUGGCACCCUGUUUCCUUCUUAAAAGUAAUUGCUCUCCUAGGGUCUUAUUAAUUUCGGCAAGUCUCUGUUCAACAGUUUUAUAAUAUUCAAGGCCCUUAGAUACACCUUCCGAUAUAGCUUUAGCCGUAAGAGAAGAAGAAAGCAAAUUAGAACAUAACUCUUUAUUUUUAGAAAAUUGGUUAUUGUAUACUUCCAUCUUUCUCAAAAAUUCCGGAUUUUGUUUCAA
Schizosaccharomyces pombe (fission yeast) is the source of this 958-nucleotide non-coding RNA. Lineage: Eukaryota; Fungi; Ascomycota; Schizosaccharomycetes; Schizosaccharomycetales; Schizosaccharomycetaceae. The record is from the annotation of a GenBank genome assembly.